RNAcentral lists this ribosomal RNA (459 nucleotides) under uncultured bacterium. Its description in RNAcentral is "partial 16S ribosomal RNA". It matches the Rfam family "Bacterial small subunit ribosomal RNA", at positions 338 to 795 of the family's 1533-position model. The record is from RNAcentral.
CCUACGGGAGGCAGCAGUGAGGAAUAUUGGUCAAUGGCCGAGAGGCUGAACCAGCCAAGUCGCGUGAGGGAAGACGGCCCUACGGGUUGUAAACCUCUUUUGUCGGGGAGCAAAGCGAACCACGUGUGGUUCAUUGUGAGUACCCGCAGAAAAAGCAUCGGCUAACUCCGUGCCCGCAGCCGCGGUAAUACGGAGGAUGCGAGGGUUAUCCGGAUUUAUUGGGUUUAAGGGGUGCGAAGGCGGAGGUUCAAGUCAGCGGUCAAAUUGCGGGGCUCACCCCCGUACUGCAGUUGAAACUGGAUGCCUUGAGUGCGCUAGAGGUAUGCGGAAUGCGUGGUGUAGCGGUGAAAUGCAUAGAUAUCACGCAGAACUCCGAUUGCGAAGGCAGCAUACCGGAGCGCAACUGACGCUCAUGCACGAAAGCGUGGGUAUCGAACAGGAUUAGAUACCCUUGUAGUC